GCCCCCUUAGCUUAGUAGGAGAGCAAUGCCGUGACGUGGCAGAGGCGGACGUGCAAUUCGUCCAGGGGGCACCA
RNAcentral lists this transfer RNA (74 nucleotides) under Deltaproteobacteria bacterium. RNAcentral's name for it is "tRNA-Val". It matches the Rfam family "tRNA". Rfam says of the family: Transfer RNA (tRNA) molecules are approximately 80 nucleotides in length. Their secondary structure includes four short double-helical elements and three loops (D, anti-codon, and T loops). Lineage: Bacteria; Pseudomonadati; Myxococcota; Myxococcia. The record is from RNAcentral.